CUCUGCCCCCGCCCUCGGUGUCCCCGCGAGCUCCGGAGCCUCCCGGGAGCAGCCGAGGUCCCUGGCUCGGCACCGCGGCUCCGCAGGUCUCUGCGUCCCUGCCGCGUGGAGGAAGGCAAGGCUUCGUUCUCUGCCGUCGGGGUGGGACGCGGAGGGAGGUAAUCAUUUAAAAUGGUGAGGUACUCUCUUGAUCCAGAGAACCCCACAAAAUCAUGCAAGUCAAGGGGUUCAAAUCUCCGGGUCCACUUCAAGGUAUGUGAAAAUAAAUCAUGAUUAGGUUCUAAAGUGGUUUUUCAUCUUGUAUAUGUUUCUUGGAAUCAGGACUGUAUUUGAAGCUGCAAUGAUGAUGUUUCUUAGGACACCUUUGGAUUAACUAUGAAAAUGAAACAACACUGAGCAGCCACUUUUGUUUGUUUAGUGAGGUCUCCAGGGUUUUAUACUAGGUGCUACAUCUUGACCAAAAUAUUGAAAACCAAUGAGAUAAGAAAUAAGUGAGAAGUGUCAUAGAGUGAAAACAUUACACUGAACUCAGUUGCCCUACUUCAUAGACCUGAGUUCUGGCACUAAGUAUUUAAUUUUAAGCAUAUUGUGUAAACUCUUGAGUUAAUUUGUGCUACAUAAAUG
RNAcentral lists this long non-coding RNA (624 nucleotides) under Vombatus ursinus (common wombat). Its description in RNAcentral is "lncRNA (ENSVURG00010000488.1)". The stretch from base 336 to 401 matches the Rfam family "Small nucleolar RNA SNORD58". The record is from RNAcentral. Lineage: Eukaryota; Metazoa; Chordata; Mammalia; Diprotodontia; Vombatidae.